Molecule: long non-coding RNA, 713 nt
Filed under: Oryza brachyantha (malo sina)
Lineage: Eukaryota; Viridiplantae; Streptophyta; Magnoliopsida; Poales; Poaceae
Description: long non-coding RNA (OBRA_LNC000149)
Source: RNAcentral
UAAGAACGAAAUUGCCACAUAUAAAAAAGGCUAGAUCGAGCAACACAAAUAAUUAAGCUCUUAUUUACUUAUCAACGAUUUAAUUACUUCAAUCCAGCUACAGCAUGCAAGAUGGUUUUGAGAGACAAAUCCAUCUCCCCAUGAGGCCAUGCAUGACCAUGAACACCAGGAUGAUCAAACCCCAUAUAUAAUCCGCUCUAACUGUAGUAGCAACAAACAAGAAGUGAAUGGCAUGGGGGGAACUCCAUCGAUCUGACGCCGACCUCGAUCACCUCCUACAUCUUGAGGAAGAAUAGUUCUUGAUGCAUCUUGGCUUCUUUAGGUCGUAGGAAUGCUCCCUCUCCAAAGCUAGUUAUAUACUGCAAAUAUCUCUCCUAAGCUAGCUUAAUGCUCACAUGCUAAUCCCAAACUGAUGAGAAGCAACGAUGAGGACUGCAUAUAUACACUGAACCUGGACGCCUUCCUCACCUUUUCCUUCUCCCUUUUUAGCUUAUGGUUUUGGGAUUUGGCAGUCAUCGAUUAUCUGGUAGCAGGGAAAAUGCUGCCAUCCUACUUUGUGUGUGUCGUCCUGCCUUUUUCUCUUUUAUGACGCGUGCCCAUACAGUCAUAUAUGCAUAAUGUCAAGUAGUCUAUACUACUUGCACAAAAUUAAAGCCCUCCUAUCUGGUCAUAACUACCGCUCCCUCCGUUUCACGAUAUAAGGCCUUCCCUCC